RNAcentral lists this ribosomal RNA (479 nucleotides) under uncultured Glomus. Its description in RNAcentral is "SSU rRNA". It matches the Rfam family "Eukaryotic small subunit ribosomal RNA", at positions 569 to 1055 of the family's 1831-position model. The record is from RNAcentral. Lineage: Eukaryota; Fungi; Glomeromycota; Glomeromycetes; Glomerales; Glomeraceae.
AGCAGCCGCGGUAAUUCCAGCUCCAAUAGCGUAUAUUAAAGUUGUUGCAGUUAAAAAGCUCGUAGUUGAAUUUCGGGAUCAAUAUGUUGGUCGUGCCUCGGUACGUACUAGCAUAUUGGUUUCUCCUUUCUGAAGAACCAUGAUGUCAUUUAUUUGGUGUCGUGGGGAAUCAGGACUGUUACUUUGAAAAAUUAGAGUGUUUAAAGCAGGCUCACGCUUGAAUACAUUAGCAUGGAAUAAUGAAAUAGGACGUUUGAUUCUAUUUUGUUGGUUUCUAGGAUCGACGUAAUGAUUAAUAGGGAUAGUUGGGGGCAUUAGUAUUCAAUUGUCAGAGGUGAAAUUCUUGGAUUUAUUGAAGACUAACUACUGCGAAAGCAUUUGCCAAGGAUGUUUUCAUUAAUCAAGAACGAAAGUUAGGGGAUCGAAGACGAUCAGAUACCGUCGUAGUCUUAACCAUAAACUAUGCCGACUAGGAUCGG